Long non-coding RNA from Anolis carolinensis (green anole), 1839 nucleotides. The record is from Ensembl. NCBI's taxonomy places the organism in Eukaryota, Metazoa, Chordata, Lepidosauria, Squamata, Anolidae.
AUGAUAGAACGGGCAUUUCCUUUCAAAGUAUCGUGUCUGGUUACUGAUAGAGGGGGUGAAUUUUGUGGAAAUAACUUCCAACACUGGCUUAGAGAAAUGGGCAUACAACAUAAGACCACCAAUCCCUACACACCAGCUGAAAAUGGGCUUGCAGAAAGAAGAAUAGGGGUACUCCAAGUUAUGAAAGAUUGCAUGUUAAGAGAUUCUGAAGCACCUAAUAGCCUCUGGGGAGAGGCUUUUCUAACAGCGAAUCAUGUUCUCAAUAGGGUGUGGUGCUCAGCCAUUAAACAGACCCCAUUUUUUGCAUUGUAUGGAAGAUCUCCAAAUUUAAAACACCUACGAAUUUUUGGCCAAUUCGCCCAGGUAUUAGUUCCAGCCCAACAGAGACGAAAAGGUCAGCCCAAAUGGAGAAGGCUGAGAUUUGUGGGAUAUAUGGGCAACAAGUACAGAUUUUAUGGUGGGGGUGGAAAUGUGGUACUCUCCAGAAGUGCUAAUUUUGAGACCCAUAGUGGAUGGGAGAAAAUACAUUGUAACAAGGAAGUAUUCAUACAAACUAGUCAUGAAGACAUUGAAAAUGAAGGGGAGGACACAGAUAGUGGUUCAGAGAGAGAAGAAGAAUCACUCUCAGACAGUGAAAGUGUUCAAGAUGUUCCCUCGCCCCACACAAGACUAAAAGAGAGAAAGAGAUAUAGAAAAGCAAGGCCUCAAUCCAGUGAUGAGGAAUUUAGUGGAUCAGACAAUAUUGUUUUAAGGAGAAGCAAAAGAGUUCGAAAGCCACCUGAUAGAUAUGGUGGUCCCAAAAUGUUUCAAGUAGAAAUGAAUACACAGCAUGAUGAUGAACCAGAGAGUUUUAGCCAGGCCAUGGACAGUCUCAAUGCAGAAGACUGGAGAGAGGCAAUGAAUAACGAGUUCAAUUCCUUGAAACAUCAAAAGGUUUUUGAAGUUGUAGAUAGGCCCAGAAAUCAAAAGGUUGUAGGAUGCAAAUGGGUUUAUAAGAAAAAGAUUCUUCCAGAUGGAGAGAUUAAGUACAAAGCAAGGCUAGUGGCCAAAGGGUUUACUCAAUCCAGGUUUGAGAAUUAUGAUGAAACAUUUGCUCCUACUGCCAAGCCAGAAAGUUUAAGACUGAUGCUAACGCUAGCAGCCAAGAAGCAAAUGCAAGUACAGCAUUUUGAUUUUGAGACAGCUUACCUUAAUGCUCCUUUGCAGGAACAAAUAUAUAUGGAACAAGCGCCAGGUUUUUGUGUUAAAGGUAACAAAGUUUGCCUUCUUAGAAAAGCGAUAUAUGGGCUUAAGCAAUCAGCGAGACUUUGGAAUAUGUGUGUACAUGAUGAAUUGUGUAAACUUGGGUUUAAUAGGAGCAUUGCAGAUGCAUGUGUUUACACUAGAGGUACCAAAGAUGAAUGGGUAGGCCUUCUUCUUUAUGUGGAUGACCUAUGUGUUAUAGCUCAAAAACCAGACACAAUUAAAAAAGUUGAGAGGGAACUUGGAAAUAGGUUCAGAAUGAAAAAUUUAGGUCACCUGAAGAACUACGUAGGUCUAGAGGUCAGUAGAUCUGCAGAAGGUACAAUAAUCUUGAGUCAGAAAAAGAAAAUUGAGCAAGUGAUUGAAAAAUGUAAUUUAAUCAAUGCAAAAACUGUUUCCACUCCAAUGACAACUGAUUUCGUUAGUCUAGAGUCAGAUAAAUUGUUUGAGAAACCAGAGGUAUAUCAUUCUGUCAUUGGGAGCUUAAUGUACAUUGCAAAUCAUACAAGGCCAGAUAUUAGUUUCGCAGUGAAUUUUCUUAGUCGGAGAGUUUCCAAACCUAGGAUGAUCGAUUGGAUUGCACUAAAGAGUUAUUAG